UCAGUCUCAGACAUCCAAGGAAGGAUAAAGCAGCAUUAACUCUCAAGCCUGGCGAAGGCGAAAGUUCUUAGGCGGCCACUGCGAAUGUUUUGAGAAACAAGCCUUAAUGUUAUCAUCACAGACGACAUUAUAUAAUUAUAUAAAUAAAUAAUGUAAAAGCAAAGAGAUAUACUUUUCCAUCCUAAAAUGAUCAGCAAAAUAUAAGAAAACAGAGCUGACAAAGUGAAGCAGAUGGAUAAUUUGCAUAUAAGGGACGCAUUCUUCCCAUAAGCAAUCAGAAACAC
This 284-nucleotide long non-coding RNA is filed under the name Medicago truncatula (barrel medic). RNAcentral's name for it is "lncRNA gene50287". Lineage: Eukaryota; Viridiplantae; Streptophyta; Magnoliopsida; Fabales; Fabaceae. The record is from RNAcentral.